Long non-coding RNA from Oncorhynchus tshawytscha (Chinook salmon), 928 nucleotides. Lineage: Eukaryota; Metazoa; Chordata; Actinopteri; Salmoniformes; Salmonidae. The record is from Ensembl.
GCAAGACCAGCCGUGGUGGGAAAAGAGCAGAAACACAACAGGAACUUUUUUAUCUUCUAAAAAUGAUUUAUUAAUACAAUAUGGUAUAGUACACCCCAUAGCAUAGUAUGACUGGCAGAAACCAGAGAAGGCAAAAGUAGAGAAAACACUAAACAAUGAUCCCAUUCCCACAUCUGUACGUGACUGAGUAAGCAGUACAUAAUCACAUUAAACCCUUGCUAAAAUCAUGGUCAGCAAAUUGAAUAAAAUAAAACAUACAAAUGGCAGGAAAUGCAGUUUGUCCCAUCUCCAAGAACUCUAUGAUGCCGUCCCAGGUGCCUUCACUCCAACAACUCCGUCCCAGGUGCCUUCACUGCGACAACUCCAUCCCAGGUGCCUUCACUCCAACAACUCCGUCCCAGAUGCCUUCACUGCGACAACUCCAUCCCAGGUGCCUUCACUGCGACAACUCCGUCCCAGGUGCCUUCACCUUCACUCCGAUAACUCCGUCCCAGGUGCCUUCACUGCGACAACUCCAUCCCAGGUGCCUUCACCUUCACUCCGAUAACUCCGUCCCAGGUGCCUUCACUGCGACAACUCCGUCCCAGGUGCCUUCACUCCGACAACUCCGUCCCAGGUGCCUUCACUCCGACAACUCCAUCCCAGGUGCCUUCACUCUGACAACUCCAUCCCAGGUGCCUUCACUCCGACCUAGGUGCCUUCACUCUGACAACUCCAUCCCAGGUGCCUUCACUCUGACAACUCCAUCCCAGGUGCCUUCACUCCGACCUAGGUGCCUUCACUCUGACAACUCCAUCCCAGGUGCCUUCACUCCGACCUAGGUGCCUUCACUCUGACAACUCCAUCCCAGGUGCCUUCACUCCGACAACUCCAUCCCAGAUGCCUUCACUCCGACAACUCCAUCCCAGGUGCCUUCACUCCGACAACU